GUGAAAUUGAACUCGCUGUGAAGAUGCAGUGUACCCGCGGCAAGACGGAAAGACCCCGUGAACCUUUACUAUAGCUUGACACUGAACAUUGAGCCUUGAUGUGUAGGAUAGGUGGGAGGCUUUGAAGUGUGGACGCCAGUCUGCAUGGAGCCGACCUUGAAAUACCACCCUUUAAUGUUUGAUGUUCUAACGUGGACCCGUGAUCCGGGUUGCGGACAGUGUCUGGUGGGUAGUUUGACUGGGGCGGUCUCCUCCUAAAGAGUAACGGAGGAGCACGAAGGUUGGCUAAUCCUGGUCGGACAUCAGGAGGUUAGUGCAAUGGCAUAAGCCA
RNAcentral lists this ribosomal RNA (331 nucleotides) under Salmonella enterica subsp. enterica serovar Weltevreden. RNAcentral's name for it is "partial 23S ribosomal RNA". It matches the Rfam family "Bacterial large subunit ribosomal RNA", at positions 2036 to 2366 of the family's 2925-position model. RNAcentral also lists the same sequence under 2 other names. Lineage: Bacteria; Pseudomonadati; Pseudomonadota; Gammaproteobacteria; Enterobacterales; Enterobacteriaceae. The record is from RNAcentral.